GAUGAACGCUGGCGGCGUGCCUAAUACAUGCAAGUCGAGCGAACAGACGAGGAGCUUGCUCCUCUGACGUUAGCGGCGGACGGGUGAGUAACACGUGGAUAACCUACCUAUAAGACUGGGAUAACUUCGGGAAACCGGAGCUAAUACCGGAUAAUAUAUUGAACCGCAUGGUUCAAUAGGGAAAGACGGUUUUGCUGUCACUUAUAGAUGGAUCCGCGCCGCAUUAGCUAGUUGGUAAGGUAACGGCUUACCAAGGCAACGAUGCGUAGCCGACCUGAGAGGGUGAUCGGCCACACUGGAACUGAGACACGGUCCAGACUCCUACGGGAGGCAGCAGUAGGGAAUCUUCCGCAAUGGGCGAAAGCCUGACGGAGCAACGCCGCGUGAGUGAUGAAGGUCUUCGGAUCGUAAAACUCUGUUAUUAGGGAAGAACAGAUGUGUAAGUAACUAUGCACGUCUUGACGGUACCUAAUCAGAAAGCCACGGCUAACUACGUG
Molecule: ribosomal RNA, 497 nt
Filed under: uncultured bacterium
Lineage: Bacteria
Description: partial 16S ribosomal RNA
Rfam family: Bacterial small subunit ribosomal RNA
Source: RNAcentral